ACCCUCCGGAUUCCUUGUCCCUCAGAUCUAAACACGGGUCUAAGUGGCUGAAAAAGAAGGAAAAGUAAAACUGAAGUGGACUUGGAGUCUUUAAUAACUUACAAUUCAUUUCAAACAUAU
RNAcentral lists this small nucleolar RNA (120 nucleotides) under Echinops telfairi (small Madagascar hedgehog). RNAcentral describes it as "Small nucleolar RNA SNORA61 (ENSETEG00000026506.1)". Lineage: Eukaryota; Metazoa; Chordata; Mammalia; Afrosoricida; Tenrecidae. The record is from RNAcentral.